GGUAGUCCACGCCGUAAACGAUGUCGACUUGGAGGUUGUGCCCUUGAGGCGUGGCUUCCGGAGCUAACGCGUUAAGUCGACCGCCUGGGGAGUACGGCCGCAAGGUUAAAACUCAAAUGAAUUGACGGGGGCCCGCACAAGCGGUGGAGCAUGUGGUUUAAUUCGAUGCAACGCGAAGAACCUUAUCUACUCUUGACAUCCAGAGAACUUAGCAGAGAUGCUUUGGUGCCUUCGGGAACUCUGAGACAGGUGCUGCAUGGCUGUCGUCAGCUCGUGUUGUGAAAUGUUGGGUUAAGUCCCGCAACGAGCGCAACCCUUAUCCUUUGUUGCCAGCGGUUAGGCCGGGAACUCAAAGGAGACUGCCAGUGAUAAACUGGAGGAAGGUGGGGAUGACGUCAAGUCAUCAUGGCCCUUACGAGUAGGGCUACACACGUGCUACAAUGGCGCAUACAAAGAGAAGCGACCUCGCGAGAGCAAGCGGACCUCAUAAAGUGCGUCGUAGUCCGGAUUGGAGUCUGCAACUCGACUCCAUGAAGUCGGAAUCGCUAGUAAUCGUAGAUCAGAAUGCUACGGUGAAUACGUUCCCGGGCCUUGUACACACCGCCCGUCACACCAUGGGAGUGGGUUGCAAAAGAAGUAGGUAGCUUAACCUUCGGGAGGGCGCUUACCACUUUGUGAUUCAUGACUGGGGUGAAGUCGUAACAAGGUAACCGUAGGGGAACCUGC
This 726-nucleotide ribosomal RNA is filed under the name uncultured bacterium. RNAcentral describes it as "bacterial SSU rRNA". It matches the Rfam family "Bacterial small subunit ribosomal RNA", at positions 789 to 1515 of the family's 1533-position model. The record is from RNAcentral.